CGUCUUGCAUCCGUAUCUCGCUGUGAUGAUGUCCUGGCCGCAAAUCUGGCAUAGAAUACUGUCGACAUCGAACUUCCAGUAAGCGAUCGUGGACAAGACGAGUGUUGGCAUGAAGCGAUGGUACCAACGUCUUGGCUGUGUCAUGACGACAACUCUCCGCUUGCGACGUUCUUCUGCAAUCUCUUCCAUUGUCACAGUAGUUCUCUUUUCUCCCUGUUCCGGUAUGAGAAAAUCGCAGAUGCGGCACAUGAUGUAAUUCGACUUACUUUGAUACAAGCCUAUCAUGAAAUAGAAAAAGGCCAGCAAAAACAACUGGAGCCACGUACGCCAUUCAACUGGAACGAAUGCCGUGUUACAGGCAGAACUGUCGGCUAUUUUGCAGUACUUGCUCUCUAGACUGAAGCCACCUAAAACGGCCCGCAUGAGAAAUGCAAACAUUCCAUCGCCCUGGACGUUGAAAACGAAUCGAGCCGAUCCGUAGUUGGGUACGACGAAUUGAAUGUUCAUCAGCAAAUGGUGCAAGUAUUUAGCUGAUUGCUCGAACCAGAAACAAAACAUGACUUUACCGAUCAAACGAAGUGAUUCAGCGAAACGGGAUGGAUAGUUGUACAUGACGAAGACGUAGUCGGACAUCAUUCGAGUGAACGUCGAAUAAUAUCGAUUUCUCUCACGUCGCGACAGAUGAAUUCCCAACCGUUCCAUGAUAGCCCUGCUCAGGUCCAUUUUGCGGCGAACAAAUCGAAACUGGCCGUCAUUUCCAGCAGGUCGUUAUUGACUUUGGGUAAAAGCGGAUUGAUAACAAUUUCACGGCCAAGAGUUUCCAGGGCUUGCUGGUAAUGGGCGUAGGCCACCCCGAAUGCCGUACUUUCAGGAGCAAUGCAGAAUUUAUCCAGAUCUAUUGAGUUCAGCGAUCUGCAAGAAUGGUAUGCAGUUUUCCAGCAAAUUGAAAACACUGUCUCGAAGAAGACUGCUGUACUUCCGAGAUUGUAGGAUUGGUCGAGACAGGUCUGUGAAUGCUUUAUCCAGCUGUUCCAGCGUGCUCGUCGGGUCCGGUGGCAGUUCUCCGAACGUUCCAAAGAUUUCCCUGUUUAACUCCUGGGCACUGGCCAUCAUGAAGUUAAUUUCGUUUUUGUUCCGGUCGCUGAGUCCGAAAACUUUCUGGAACAUGCGAGUCCCAUCAGACAGAUGAUAUGGAUUAUGAUGGAACCACAGUUGAUGUAAAGACUGAGAAUUGGACCGAAAAACAGCUGGGUUUCAAAGACGUGCAUCACGCAGAAUCCGAACAGCGGAAUGAGGAGUUCCAUUGAAGUGAGGACACCCACAGCAGAUAAUUUGAGUUCUGGGUACCAAGGUGUCAACGUGAAGAUCCCAAUCACGACAAAAACGCCCAUAACGUAGAGAUUUUGGAAGUAGAGGUGAACCAUGUAGAAGGCAGCAGACCCACCAAAGCCCAUGAAGACGUUCAAGAUGAUGUUAUAGCUCAACUUACCUGCCCUGCUGGUGUAGAGGCCUUGUACGAAAAAUAACAGGGAGGCUGCCAGGCUGCCUACCAGAAACCAGUAGACGUUCCAGCGUCGUGUGAUGAGCGACAAACGAGUGACAUCCUCGACAGCCAGAAGGAGAAUUGUUCCCAGUGAUCUGAUCUUGUCCUGAACACCUUCCAGCAGCCAGUGCAUGGCUCUGAUGGAUCGGUCCCAGAUGGUGGGCCGACGGGCGAGUGGUUCGUCAUUGCUAGUAUCGUCGCAAGGCAUUUCCCAUACAGUGCGUGAAGAAACGGCAAAGAAGUCACCAGGUGGCGGUAGUUCAUCGCAAUGGGCUAUUGGCUCGCCUUUACUGGUAAUUGUUAUACGAUUCACGUCGCAGACGGUCAUGAUUGUCUCUCGUUCGAAUGAGAAAUUUGACGAAGUCAUAGCUGCUGGUAGAAAACCGAACAAAAAGAAAAUGGUUGCCAACAUCAUGCCGGAGUUCGUCAUUCGUUUUGUAACAAAGGUAUUUGGUGUUCUUUGGCAAUGGUAUUGAAAGACCAUCAUUCAGACUUGAAACAUAUGAGCCAGUUGCUGUUUUGAAUAUUAGUUGUGAAUUAUUAGACAACGUUAUUUCUCCCAAACUGUUCUGCAGUAAAAAAGAGAAAAUCAACUAAGAAUUACCUUUGCCGGAGCGUCCGAAAUGAUUGAGCUAGUCAUCGUGGUGGCCUCGAAUGCGUACUUAAAUGAUCUUCCUCGUUUUCAAAUUUAAACACCGGAAAGGUAAGGUCUACAGGUGGACUAGUCGACCAUGUUCUAACCAUUGGGCUUACGCAAGAUCCGGCCAUUUGCUUGCUGAUUGGUUCUGUUGACUAUUAUGAGUUCAGGUGGAGGAUUAUUUUAACUGUAAGAGGCUCAAAAGACAAACGCUGAAAACAAAAAUGAAAAACUUUUUCACCAGAAACGCAUUUGCAACAGAACUGUGUAAACCGAAAUCCCCAAGAAAAUUGAGCUUGAAGAGGCUCGCAACCAAGUCAAUGCUUCCAGUUAAUCAUCAAAAGACCAAGGAACUUGAACGUUGUGCAGGUCUUCGAUUGUCUCAUUAUGACGUAUCACGAUACCUCGGUCUUCUGGGCCAAAGCACUUGGUGCUGUUGUACCACCAACUGUCGAUAUCCCUAAAUUUCAAUUUUCCGUAAUGAACAACGUCACAGAACGGCUGGGAUGCUAUUUCCUGAUAGCCCGAAUGCACCUGGGCAGAUGUUUUAAAAAACAUUUCAGUCCAAUCAAGUCAUCCAAUGAACUACGGAAUGGGAUGUAAUCUAUGUACCUGAUAAAUAUCUUUCCACCAAAAAUGGCGAAGGACUGAACGAGAGCGCAUCAAUGAAAGAAUGUGACGGUGCUAUGCUUGCGUAAUCUGCUCCCCUGUAUAGUCGAAUUUUGAAAGCAGUUAUGCACAAUAGGCACCGUGUCACGGUCGAGGAGAUCGAAAAAUCUUUUCGUCACGAAGUCGUCACAAAUGUAGCGUUCAAAUGCCAGGACAAAUUUGUAAUUGUUGGCCAGCAUAUCAAGACACGGGAGAAUUGCAGCACCUGGCAUACCAUUAGUUUCCGGACAGCUCUUUUCGCCGCACGGCCCAUAGCUAUCUACUUCUACGUAUUCCUAUCAAUAGCUCGUUAAUGUAUGCUUCACGUUUGCUUUUGGAUCCACAACGGGCAACGUACCAAGCCACGAGCCUUUUCUUCUUCUUACUGUUCCUGAGUCGGAUUCUAUAAACAAGAGUGAAUUAAGUUCGCAUUCGAUGAAGAUCAUUCAAAGACAUACUGAGAAAACGAGUUUUUCAUCAGCGGCUGGUCCAGCUUCUUAACCCAACCCCGUUUCCAUGUUACAUCAGCAUUUUUACGAAACAUCGUCUAACGUAAAGCCAAAAUCGCCGUACCACGGGUUCCAAAGAAGAAUGGUCUUUACGUCGGUGUUCGGUAGGGUUGACAUUCCUACACGCUCAACAACAUCCAGCUGACGAUAAUCGCCAUCAACGUUAUGGAUCGUAAGCUGUUUAACGAAGAAAAUAUUGAAUAAAAAGAAAAGCCACAACGGAUAGAUAACGCAGUGACGAUUUGGCCGAUGAAACAACGUUCGAAGUCUAGGCAUUCUCGCGCUACAUCGAGUGCUCGCAAAGCACGUACUGCGGUUAAUAGCUUAAACGCGUUCGUCUGGGAAUGUAACCAACAACAGUUAACACUGAUAGCUGUCGGUCGACUGAAGAAAGUUGAUACCCGAUGCCGACUUUCUGCCGCAUCGCGCUAGCGCUGUAGCGUACUGGCGCGAUUUUUGAAAUACACCGAAUAUUUGACGCUAUGCUAGCGCGCCAGUACACAUGCCUGACUACAGAAGGAAUUCGUAUUGCUGAAGAAACCAGUUUAUUGGAAUAUUUUCAAUUUAUACCUUUCCAUUUUUGGUGCCGUAUUUUUUUUUUUAAUUAAUCAAUUGACAACAUACCUAUCAAAAUCUCGAGCAAUACAUGUAAGGACAAUUAUGGCAUA
This is a long non-coding RNA of Daphnia carinata, 4005 nucleotides long. RefSeq lists it as uncharacterized. Lineage: Eukaryota; Metazoa; Arthropoda; Branchiopoda; Diplostraca; Daphniidae. The transcript has 15 exons. The record is from RefSeq and is a predicted model, not a curated record.